UACGUAGGUGGCGAGCGUUGUCCGAAGUUACUGGGCGUAAAGCGCGCGUAGGCGGGGGGUUAAGUGAGAGGUGAAAGGCUGGGGCUCAACCUCAUGCAGUGCCUCUCAUACUGGCCUUCUUGAGGGCGGUAGGGAGAAGUGGAAUGGCUGGUGUAGCGGUGAAAUGCGUAGAUAUCAGUCGGAACACCGGUGGCGAAGGCGGCUUCUUGGGCCGUUCCUGACGCUGAUGCGCGAAAGCUGGGGGAGCGAACGGG
RNAcentral lists this ribosomal RNA (254 nucleotides) under uncultured bacterium. Its description in RNAcentral is "partial 16S ribosomal RNA". It matches the Rfam family "Bacterial small subunit ribosomal RNA", at positions 524 to 776 of the family's 1533-position model. The record is from RNAcentral.